UGUUAAAAAUUUCAUCUAUUUUUACAGUUAAAAAUUGGUAUGGUUGAUGGAAUAACUAGAUAGAUACACGUGGCGUGCCACAUGAACCUCAUAUUGAUGUACAUGGAUCAAUUUUUAACAGCAAAAAUGGAUGAAAAUUUUAAGA
This is a non-coding RNA of Gossypium hirsutum (cotton), 145 nucleotides long. NCBI's taxonomy places the organism in Eukaryota, Viridiplantae, Streptophyta, Magnoliopsida, Malvales, Malvaceae. The record is from Rfam.